AGGACAGGUAGCUCUGUGCCGAGAGCUCUGUGAAGCGGCGGGAAGUCCAUGGUUGAUCACUCUAGACUAUCAAUUUGACUCAGUGACAGUUGAAGCCUGAGGUGCCAUCAGCAUGGGGACCACGUGGCUGUGGCUGAUACAGUGCUCAGGACUGACCGGGGAGCUCCAGAUUCGGCCUGAACAUGCGCGGCUCUGCUGUUACCAAGUGUGACCACCAUCAGUUCACCGAACCUCUCCAUUUCUUUCAUCAUCGCCCAGGCGUGAGUGAAGAUGUAUGGUUCUUGACUUACUACGCCAAGCACGAUAUUCUCAAGAGCCUUCCACGUCGUCCCACAUGGCAGUCUUUCAACUCAGGGCAGGGAGCGGUCCACUGCGCAUGAGCACCACCUAUCUGUCUUUAUCCAGUCAUCUGCCGAAGGGCCCCGGUUGUUUCCAUGUUCCCCCACGGCUCGUCUGUCACCGCCUCCAGCUCUGCUUUCCUGCGCGGUGGCCUUGCCUUUCUGUCCCAUCUACGGCGUGCUCUACAGCCCACAUUUCCUUCAGAGCGCUGACCACAACCCAAUGUGCGGUUGUUUAUCCAUUUAUUUGUUGGCUGUGUGUCCCCCGCCCCGGGCGCAAACAAGGGCAGGGAUUUGUGUCUUCACUGCGGUGCCCUCAGGGGAUUAUGGGUGGU
This is a long non-coding RNA of Artibeus jamaicensis (Jamaican fruit-eating bat), 673 nucleotides long. RefSeq lists it as uncharacterized. Lineage: Eukaryota; Metazoa; Chordata; Mammalia; Chiroptera; Phyllostomidae. The record is from RefSeq and is a predicted model, not a curated record. The transcript is spliced from 4 exons.